UACGGAGGAUGCAAGCGUUAUCCGGAUUUAUUGGGUUUAAAGGGUCCGUAGGCGGGUCUUUAAGUCAGUGGUGAAAGCCCACAGCUCAACUGUGGAACUGCCAUUGAUACUGGAGAUCUUGAGUGUAGUAGAAGUAGGCGGAAUAGGGCAUGUAGCGGUGAAAUGCAUAGAUAUGCCCUAGAACACCGAUUGCGAAGGCAGCUUACUAUGUUACAACUGACGCUGAGGGACGAAAGCGUGGGGAGCAAACAGG
Molecule: ribosomal RNA, 253 nt
Filed under: uncultured bacterium
Lineage: Bacteria
Description: partial 16S ribosomal RNA
Rfam family: Bacterial small subunit ribosomal RNA
Source: RNAcentral